AGUGAACGCUGGCGGCGUGCUUAACACAUGCAAGUCGAACGAGAACGGAUUAUAGCUUGCUAUAAUUGUCAGCUAAGUGGCGCACGGGUGAGUAAUGUAUAGGUAAUAUGCCUCUUACUAGGGAAUAACAAAUGGAAACGUUUGCUAAUACCUUAUACUCCUUAUUAACAGAAGUUAAUAAGGGAAAGAUUUAUUGGUAAGAGAUUAGCCUGUAUUGUAUCAGUUAGUUGGUGGGGUAAUGGCUUACCAAGACUAUGACACGUAACUGGUUUGAGAGGAUGAUCAGUCACACUGGAACUGAGACACGGUCCAGACUCCUACGGGAGGCAGCAGUGGGGAAUAUUGCACAAUGGACGAAAGUCUGAUGCAGCAACGCCGCGUGGAGGAUGACACAUUUCGGUGCGUAAACUCCUUUUAUAUGAGAAGAUAAUGACGGUAUUAUAUGAAUAAGCACCGGCUAACUCCGUGCCAGCCGCCGCAGUAA
This 484-nucleotide ribosomal RNA is filed under the name uncultured bacterium. Its description in RNAcentral is "partial 16S ribosomal RNA". It matches the Rfam family "Bacterial small subunit ribosomal RNA", at positions 29 to 523 of the family's 1533-position model. The record is from RNAcentral.